AGAAAGAGAAUACAAAAAACGUUUAGAUUUCAUUCCAAAAAGAUGAUCCUUAGAAGGACGAGGUACACUUAUAUAAUUACAAGUACCUACAGUUGUAUCAAGACAAUAAAUCUAACAAAUUAACAGAAUUUUGCUGACUCACGCCAUCUACCAAUUUGGACUAUUCAACCUAGCCCACUGCCUCCUCCAAGCCCAACUCACACCCCUUAUCUGUUGGAGAGAUAAUUGGGUCUAUGUCUGAUGUAGCCCAAUUGAUUUUGCUCCCACGUGCUUUGUCCUUGAGCCUUUAAUCCAUCUGUGCCACUUCUCUCUUCAUUAGGUAAAAUUCCAAUCCCUAACUCUCCCAAUUCAAUCCUAUUUGCCCCCAAUUCCUCUCGGUCGAACCCUAACUCUCCUGCCAUCAUAACAAUACCCCUUUCUCCAGAAGAUUUUUGUCCCCAGGGAUCAAAAUCAGGAAACUGUUGUCUCAACACAGUAUAAUCUUCCCAAGUUACGUCUGUUGGUCCCAUAUUUGUCCACUGAAUGAGCAAUUGAAUGACUGCCCGAUUCUGUCUUGUAACCACUCGUUGAUUCAAAACAAGGGCUGAGUAGAUCUUCAGUUUCCCAUUCGAUGCUACUUCUGGAGGAUCGAUCGAGGCCCAAAAUAUUGAGUAACAAGCUUCAAAUUUUUCCUAAGGGCAAGUGAUGUUUGUCUGUAUGGCUGAAGCUUCAGCAUGUCACCACUUGAAGAGUUUCUGACGAAAAUAUUAGAAGGUGCACACUCCAGUGCCAAAUGCAAGAGGAAGCACUGCAUGUAAACUAUGGGGUAAAGUUGUGAAAGGAGGAAUAACACGAUUUAAAGAAAACAUUGCUCAUAAAGCCAUAAAGGUUGCACUAUGCCCUAAUGUUACUGGUGUCAUUAGGGAAAGUAUGAUGAAUUUAUUAAAAGAAGGAAACAAAAAAAUAGACAAAAAGAGGAGAACAUAAGAAUUCUUGUCCUAGUUAAGAGAAGAGGGGGAUGAAAAUGAAGGAUUCAUUGAUGAGAUUGAUGCAAUUAGGCGCAACUCGAGAAAGUAUCAAAUCACAACAUGAGUGGCACAGAAGAGAAGAAUUAAGACGAAGUACUGGUGGUUGGAGUAAUAUUUAUGAAGAAGGGCGACCUUCCCAUGGAUCAGUUGGAGGAUAUCGUCGAGAAAGAACAAGUAAAUCCAUCUCGAGUGAGUCUGAGUUUACCUUACGAGAAGCUACACCUUAAUUGGUUAGAAGUACAAGCUCAAAACAA
Molecule: long non-coding RNA, 1261 nt
Organism: Hibiscus syriacus
Lineage: Eukaryota; Viridiplantae; Streptophyta; Magnoliopsida; Malvales; Malvaceae
Exons: 4
Source: RefSeq, a predicted model, not a curated record